GUUAUGACUUAUGAUCCUGCCAGGCAUUUUGAGUCACUGGUCAAUUGCAGUAAAAUGUUCUGGUUCACAAGCAACAAAUAAUUCUUUGAAUGGUCUUGGUUGAGUCUACCCUCAACACUUACAAGCAUAUCCAAUUGACAUUUUACGGAGUCUACCCUCAAAAUGUUCUGGUUCACAAGCAUAUCCCUCCAUAGGGGCGCAUGGAGAUUGGCAUCGGUGUAUGGGUUUUCUAUGUACUGAACUGUUCUUUUCAAGGGCCUAAUUCUAACAAUGACUUGAAACUGCAAGAGAACCAACAGAAGCCUCUAAUCAAGAACACAAGUGGACCAAAAACUUUGGAACUUUCUGUUUCCCUUGCAAAAUAUUAGUAAAAACUACAGUAUCUUUCCAAGAACAAUCUCAAUAUCCUUGAUCCAUCUCACAAAACGAUCUGAAAAUACAAUUUGAUUCAGCAAACACUACACAAAGGACAUACACUGGCAAUAAUAAUUGUUGGAACACAUACUGCAGUCAAAAAAAGAGUUCAGGCCAGCGACAACUAUGCUCUUAAUCCUAAUGGUUUCCCUACAAGUUAUACUGAUGACAAAAUACACAAGUCUAGCCCAAUGACAUCUCCACUGAGCAAGCAAAACAGAAGAAAAGAAUCUGUCAUGUCUACAAUUUUCUAGUCAUGGAGAUAGUCAGACUCCUAGGAGAUCUCCGAACCUUAGAUGACUCUCCACCAGUAGCACACAUUCCUUUCAAGUCCACAGAAUUCUUAGGUGUUGUCAAAUUCUCCAGUUCAGAUUUUGCAUUUCUGCUCAGUUUCCCAGGGUACCAAAUGUCAUCUGGAUUAAGAGGUAAAGCAGCAGGAUCAAGUUCAAACGAUCCCACAGGUACACCCUCUUUUUCAGUUCCAGUCAUUCUGAAUGCUGGGAUUCGAUGAGAGAACUUGUAAAGUUCAUUUGGCUUCACGAAAAAUGAGCCACCCUUAGUCUGGCUGGUGGGCUGGAAAAGGCUACCAAAUCCACUCACUUUAUCCAGGUAAUUUACUUUUAUACCAACAUCCUCGACAAAAUCAGUAAGAACCUCCACAAUUUCAUAUUUGUACUUUAUAUGUUUUUCUGGAUCUGAACUCCAACCGAUAUCCCAAUUUUUAAAGAGAGCCCAUGUCUCCCCUUCCCUAGGAUAUACAAUGAAUGCACCUCUCUUACCCUUUUCGCAGUGCACUAGAUGAGAGAAUGUAAGACGAUCAUUAGAGUUUUGAGACCUCCCACGUCUAAAUUUCCCACAACCAGCUGGUAACUCUGCCUCUACCCAUUCCAUAUCUCCUUGAUCCUCUGGAUUAGCCUCGAGCCAAGUGAACAGUAGCUCAAAUUCAGGAGACAAAACUUUCCUAAUCUGACAGUAGUAUCUUGGCAUUCCAUCAGCUGUAUCAUAACAAGCCCAGAUUUGGUUAACAGCAAAGCAACUUUCUUCCCUAUGCUUAUCAAAAUCACAAAACUCUGGAUCAGGACACUCGUAUAACUCUGGAGGAUCAUCAAAAGGUUCACUAUCUGGUUCGGAAUCAGAAUCAAUGACUUCAGCUUUUUCUACCCCGCUUGACGGAGGCCCAGCAGCCUUUUUGUCAAAUUUACUACUGUUCGCACUUUUAUCUUGCCCUUUUUCUUUAGGAGGGGCUGUUCCAUUUUGAGUAGACUUUGCCUUGGAAUUACCAUGAAAACCAGUUGAUUUGGCAUUCGUUAAGUCAUCGCCACACACCGUUUCUUCCUGCUUUGAUGUAUCAUCUCCAGCUGGUUGGUUUGCCUGUACCUUCUUCAGAUGGUUUGCCAAAUCAGUCUCGUCAUCACUUGCGCCUUCAUUAUAGGAGACAUGCUGCCGUAGGCGAGAAGACCUCCUAGGGCCACAGCUACCAGACUCAAUGUCCUCAGUUUCAGGCUCGGUGCUGCUGGAAGUAUCAAUGCUCUCACUUGAUUCAACUGUCUGCUUCCUACUCCUUUUCCUGUUAUUUUUAUUAACCUUUGGCACAGACGCCCCUUCAUUUGUAUCGCCCAUUUCCUUGUCAUACUUUUCAGCCUUCCAUUUAGCCUUUAAAUUCUUAUUUACCUGAGCAGUCUUUUCUCUUCUUACCUCUGGUUGUGACCCCAUUGUUCUACUGCUAGGACCCCGUUGAGAUCCCAUUUUGCCAGCUCCUUCUGCCAUUCUUGAGGUUCCCUGGUUUGAAACCUCUUUCUGCUGAUAAGGCGGGCCCGUGGCCGACCUAAGGGGCACAUCCUGACUGCCAGGAUGACUCCAUUUAGGUCCAAGAGGAGCACCUUGAGAACCUAAAUCAUAAGCAAUGAAAGGUUUUGAGCAUUUCUGGCAGCGUAAAGCUCUGUUCACAAAACUCCGGUAGUACUGGUACCUAAUAUUGCAAAAAGGACAUCCAGUCCAGAAUGUUUCCGGCAUUGCUGAUGGAGUCGGCUGUGUUUUCUGAAUAUUAUCCAGAUUACUGAACUGAGUACCAAAACCAUUUGGAGUAUUAUUUUGUCUAGCCGAAGGAUUUCGAUUAACCUGAUGAGAUGGUCGCCUUGCUGCUGCACCUUUAAAUAAAACCCUGUACUUACUAUCAUACAAAGCCCUUUUCGUCGGGUCAGAAAGCACCAUAUUUGCUUCCCCAAUUAGCUUGAAAGCUGCUUCUGCACCUGGAAACUUGUUCUUGUCAGGAUGAAGCACAAGUGCAAGUCUCCGGUAUUGUUUCUUGAUGGUCACUUCAUCAGCAACCAUAUCAAUUUGGAGGAUCCCAUACCAGUCCUUUUCUGACCCCACUGUACUGCUCUGAGCUGAACAGUGAACAUUACAAACAGCAAGUAGCUGCGAUAUAUUCUCUAGCUGAGGGUAAAGCCGUUCAGCUUUCAAUGCAACCUUUUGAGCCCCUAAAAAGUCAUUACCGUGCAUUUUCUUCUCAGCCAGCUCUUUAGCCCUUAGGGCUUCAUCUUUGUUGCAAUCCAUCAUAAUCCCAAUCAAUAUAUUAACCAGUGAGAUGCACUAGACAUGUAUACAGAAAUCUCCAAUGUAUAUUCUCAUGCUCCACACUGCAUUCCUGUCCCAACAAAAAGGAAAACGUCUGUCAAUUCUUGCAGCAAAGCAAGACAGAUCAACCGCUAGCAGGGAAAACUUCUAUCUUCUUUGCAACAACAUGCCGAUCAACAAUUGUUUUUACUAAUUACUGCUCAUGUAGUAACAGUUCUAGAGCUGUCAUGCACACCUAAAAGAAAAGAGAAAGGAAAUUCACCUUCAGUUACAACUUAUGAGCUAUCAAAAUUGAUUUAACUGAUUACUAGUCAUUAAUCCACAUAUUGUAGCUUGUAUGCAACUAACAAUAACAAAACUAGAACUAUUAACACUAAAAUCACCACGAAAGCAAAAUAUGUUUUAAUUAUAUUUUGCUGUCACACAAGUUAUCGAGUUGCUAUCAUACAUGAAUAUUUAACUUGAGUUCUAUAAAACAGAGAAAACUUACAUUUCACAAAAAUGUGAAUGACGCGUAGCAUUUGAUCGAAGUAUGGGAAGGGAUACUGAGACAACAAAGUCCAAGGAAUGUGUUGUAUAAAGCAUUAUAAAACCACCACAACUUUAACAUGCUGAUGAAACCAGAAUGUGUAUAUCAACAUACACUAAAUCUACAUAAACCCUAAAAUUAGAGCAAAUUGCGGAUAAGCAAAUGAAACGAACACUGAUCCGUGCAAAACCCUAAAUAGUUUGAGACUCUGAAUCCAAAAGCUUCAAAGUUCAAAAUCCAUACAAAAUCAAAAAGCACAAUAAGGUUUAAGAAAAUCAUAUAAAGUAACCAUAAAUGUGCAUAUGAAAAUAUGCAUACCUGGUGGAUGAAAAGGAACCUCCAAAGCUUUGACUACAGAAAGAGAUAAAUCUUAUAGGAAUUUGAGAGUGUACGAAUAGUAAAAGGAGGGAAGAGAAUCGCGGGAGAGUGAAAGUGAAAAUUUCAGGAGGCGGGGACAGACCCAGAAUUCUGAAAUUUCAUUUCCCCCAAAAAUCUAACUCUCUUUGUGCUAUUUCCCCAAACGACUGGGGAGCAAUCUAGAGGUUAGGUUUUUUCCUACGGUACAAGCUUAAAUUGGGUUGGGUUGGGCCCACAUUAUAUGUUACUUCACUUUGGCCCAUUCAUAAUUUUGGGUUUCACAUAUAAUUCAAGAGUUUAGUUCUAGCCCACAAUAGAUUUGAUUUGUUAUAAAAUAAUAAAGAAUAGAAGAAGAGUAGAGAGAGAAUAGAUAGUAAUUCUUAUUUUUCUUGAGGGAUUCAAUUGAGAUCCUUAAGGAUAAUUUACAAUGAAGGAAGUCUUCUAUUUAUAGAAGAAAUUUACUCCUAGUUUCUGAUUUUAUUUAUAGGGAAAAUUUAAUCCUAGUUUCUGACUAAAAGACAGAUACUUCAAAUUCUGAUAAAUAUCAAUUAGAUCUUGAUAGAUCUUAUCUAUAUAGACGUUCACUAUAAUAUAUAUAUAUAUAUAUAUAUAUAUAUUUAUUUAUAACACUCCUCCUUGAAUGUCUAAUUGAUAGAUAAUGUGUUUCGUUAAAACCUUACUAAAAAACAUUUAAUGAAAAAAAAAUCUAGUGAAGGAAAAAGAGUACACAUCUCUAAUAAUAUGCAUAUAGGCUGCCUCAUUAAAAACCUUACAAGGAAAGCCUAUUGGGACAAAACCUCGUAAGGAAAAAAGAGUACAGCGCGUAUUAACUCCCCCUAAUGAGAACAUCCUUGAACCUUUGCAUCCCGAUCUUGUGCACCAUCUACUUGAAAGUUGCAAUUGGAGGAGACUUGGUGAAUAAAUCAAUCACAUUAUCAGUCAAACGAAUCAGUUGCACGUUAAUAUCACCAUUUUUUUGUAGCUCAUGGUAUAGAAAAACUUUUGAUGAAGUGUGCUUCGUUCUAUCUCCUUUUAUGAAUCCUUUAUUAAGAUGUGCUAUGCAUGUUGCAUUAUCUAUGUAUAAAAUUAUGGGUACAUUAUCACAUUUCAAACCAUAUUUUUCUCGAAUGACAUAUAUCAUGGACCUCAACCAUACACAUUUUCGGCUAGCUUCAUGAGUAGUUAUUAUCUCGUCACGGUUCAAUAAAGUGGCUAAUAGACUGUUUAGUAUAUCUCCAAGAUAUGACAGUAUCCCACAUGUGAACACAUUGCAUGUUUGAGAUCGAGAUUUAUAUGGGUUAAAGAAGUACCAAAAAUCAACAUGACCAAUAAGAUCGGGACUGCAAUCUUGCUAACAAAUUAAUUGAAAAGACUAUAUCAGGCCUUGUAGUAUUUACAAUAUACAUGAGUGCAUCAAUUGCACUAAGGUAUGGUACUUCAUAACCAAUCCAAAUUGGUAUAUUUCUUAUUUCAUCAAAUAAUCUAUUGCUUUUGAAAACUCUCCAAGAUUUUCAAUAAUUUUCAAGCUAUAAGCUUAUACAAAUAUAAGGAUUCUAAAUAAGUUUUCGAGAAACUUUUAUAUGCCUCAAAUAUUUUGAAUCCUUAGAAAUUUUCAUAUAAAUUUUGUCAAGUGACAAUAUUCAACAUUUCAUAUGUCACAUCUUCAAGUGUCUGGAUUGCAAACAAAUAAGUUUUACACUUACCAAGAUGCAUCAUUUCAUGUCACUUGACAAAUGUUUCUACGUCAGAAUGCUUAAAUAAACGUAGAAUUCAGAUUCUCAGAAUCUUUUACAAUAUUGGGCAAAUAUUGUAUCAAAGAUACCAUUGAUGAUAUAUCAUUUCGUAUCGGUUCACAAUGUGACAUAACAUUUUGAAUUCUCAGCACUUCGUUAUUUUCAGGUACCUGAACCUCUCAUAAGGUUUCAUGAAGUGUUAUGUCAUAGGCUCUUCAAGAGCACAUUGCCUUCUUGUUACGAUUGUUUAUUCCUUAUUCUUUUCAAGGAUUAUUUUAUUUGGAACCAAUUGAUCUACCACGUUUCAUGCAUGCAUGGACUUUGUCCUUCAUGGAUACAAAAUAGGAGCAUUUGCAGCUUAAAUAUGAGAUGCUUUCGGCAUUUGACUUGAAUUAUCUUUUAAAUGAGGAUCUAGUGAUAAUUCCUAACAUAUUUCAUAGCUGCUUAUAAUCUCCCCCUUAUGUUAGGAAAACAAACAUACAUCCUCCAUCUUCUUGGACAAAUCCAUCUUUGUGCAUCAUGGUAUAUUUAUUAAUCGUAUACCGCACAUCAAAACUAUUAGAUGGAAUAGUUGGUUCUUGACCUUGAACCAAUUGAGAGGGAAAAAAUAAUCAUAAUUUAUUGGUCUAAUGCAUACAAGUGCUAUUGUAUGCAAUACAUCAUAUUUCAGACCAACACAUGAAGUUUUGUUCUCAUUAACAAUGGUUUAGCUAUUUAUUGAAGGCAUUCAAUGCCAAACCAUCAUUAUCAAGAUAAAUUGUCUUGAUUGCACAAUCUGAAAACUAUGCUUUUAACUCAAUUUUAUUGAGCAAACAACUUUAUGAAUGUCAAACUGCGGGUUGAUAAUAAAUGUACAUAUGAUUAUCUUAUUGAUGUAUCUUUUCAAUAUAUCACAUGAUAGGUGAAGGGGCCGUUAUUCACCUUUUAUGUUUUUCAGAAUUUAAGGGAUCCAAUCCCAAAAAUAGUUGGUCCUACUAACUUAUCAUGAGAACAAAUGACAAGAAAUUCUUGAAGAAUCUUCUAAUUCUUCAAUACAUGUCUAAUACUUAAUAUGCACAUAAACUUUUAUUCUAAUAAAUUCCUAGUUUACUAUGACAUGUACUUUUUUCUUUAGUAAAUUUCAGAUUUACUACUUUAGAAGUAGAUUUCAAAUAACUCUUCUCAGUUAUUCUACCUCAUUCGAGGGUGAGUUGUGAUACCAUCAUAAUCAACUGCACGUUUGCAUUAAUAAGGUUCUCAUUUCUCAGGAAUGGAAUAUAAAUGUGUCUUAAACCUAUCAAAUUCUAAUAGCUUAUAAUCUCUCUCAUGAUAUUGCUACUUCAGAGCACAUCGAGACAUACAUAUCCUUAAAUUGCUACCACAUUCACUUCACGAAUAUAGAAAAAUUUUCAGACCUAUCAUAUAUUGCUACCACAUUCACUUCAUAGAAUGAAGCAUAUUCAAUGAACAAGUUUCAUGGCUCUUCAUAAAAAAUACAUUAUUUUGCCUUAGUCACCAUAAUAUCAUCAAUAUGGUGCAUCGAGAUUCAAACUCAAUAUCUUAUCCAUAUAAAUGCAUCUUAGGCAUAAAUUGAUGGGACUUGAAUCCAAUAUCUUAUUUACAUCAUGGUACAUCAAGACUUUAACCCAAAAUCUUACCUUUUUGGUGCGAUACGACUUGAAUUCAUAUCUGCAAUGAGGACCUUGAUUGGUUGAGGAUGCUACCAACACAUAAGUUGAUGCUGAAAAUAAGUGCAUAAAACAAAGAGCUACGUAUUACCAAACACAUGAAAAAAAAGAAAGCCCAUGAUAUAACACACUGGACAUAACAAUAAUAAUAAAUUUUUAUAUGAUAAACUUGCAAUAGUAUAGUAAUAAGUUUAUAUGAUAAACUUUUUGUCAUGCUCCACUAAUAUGUACAACAUCAAUUUACAGUCUUUUAUUUACCAAUAAGUAGGCAAAGAGAAUCUCUAUUGAUACAGUUAUGGAGACGUGAUAUCUUCGAGUAAUAGUAAUUUUUACAAAUAUCAACAUAAUUCAAUUUUAAUAUAAUGAAAGAUUAUUAAAAUAAAAUACUUAUCUUUAACUCACGUAACUUUGAAAAUCUCAUAUGAAAUACAAAACUAGACUCAAAAAGAGUAGAGUCUCAUGCCGGUAACGUGUUAUAAAAUAAUAAAGAAGAAGAGUAGAGAGAGAAUAAAUAUUAAUUCUUAUUUCUCUUGAGCGAUUCUAUUGAGAUCUUUAAGGAUAAUUUACAAUGAAGGAAGUCUUCUAUUUAUAAGAGAAAUUUACUCCUAGUUUCUGAUUCUAUUUAUAGGAAAAAUUUACUCCUACUUUUUGACUAAAAGACAGAUACUUCAAAUCCUGAUAGAUAUCAAUUAGAUCUUAAUAGAUCUUAUUAGAUCUUAUCUAUAUAGACAUUCACUGUAAUGUAAAUAUAUUUAUAACAUGAUUCUACUUAUUUUUUGAUAAAUUACACAAAAUUCAAACUUAAGAGACUAUAUUACCCAAUAUUUUUUACCUUUUUAAAAUUUACAUAAAAUCUUUGUUUUCAACUUUACUCUUGAUACAUUUCAACAAAAUCUCCUAUCCUAUUUUUACUCCACCAUUAAUUCAUGCAAGCUAUUUUUUUAAAAAAAUAUUUCCUUUCCUAAGAUCUUUCCCAAAUUAUAAUCAAUUAAAAUUAUAAUCAAUUAAAACAUCUUCCAUCUCCAAGCCCUUUUUUUUUCAAAGAUUUACUUUCCUAAAAUCUCUCCCAAAUUAUCAUUAGUUAAAACAUCUUCCAUCUCCGUUAAUCCAUCUUCUUCAAGUCGUCAAUGUACUACAUUAAAUUAUAAAUUUUUCAAGUUAUUUCAAAAAGGUGAUUUAAUUGUUUAAAUGGAUUUUAAGUUAAUAUUAAACAAUGCAGAUACAUAUAUAAAAAUAUUAAUUUUCGUUAAUCCAACGCAGAUACAAGUUGUGCAUGGAUUUUGUUAAUCCACUAGAUACAUUUAUAAAAAUAUUAAUUUUCUGGAUACAUUUUUCAUAGUGUAACGGUGAUUCAUAUGAAUGAUACUUUUGUUAUCAGUAUAUAGAUGAUACAUUUGUUGACACUGUAUGAGUGAUACAUUUUAUUGUUAGAUUAUUGGUGAUACAUUUUAUUGACAGUAUAUGAGUGAUACAUUUGUAGUUAGAUUAUUGGUGAUACAUAUGUCCUAAAUGUUUCUAUAUCUAUUAUAUUUUUUUUAUUCAUUUAUAAAUGGGUGAUACAUUCAACGUAUGAAUAAAUGAAUCAUCUUUUAAAUUGUAUUUUCUCAGCACAUUUAUUUCAACUAUAAAAAUGUAUCACUAAUAUAACAGAUAACCUCUUAAAACUAAUGCAAACAAUAUUAAUAUGAAUCACAAAACUUUUCAUAAAUAUUUAAUAUGAAUCAUAUUAAUUUCAAACUCACACUCUUUAAAUAUGAAUCAUAAAUUUCAAACUUCAACUUAUAUGUCAAGUAUGCUAAAUGUAUCAUAUAUAUUGAAUAUCUAAUUUUUUUUAAAAAAAUUCAUAGAAAUACAACCAAAUGUAUCACACAUAUUUCAGAUGUAUCACAUAGUAUUCCUUCGUCACCAAAUAAUAAUUUAUAUUCAGAUGUAUGAUGUAUUCAAAUAAUAAUUCCUCUUCUCUUCCUUCUCUUCUUCAUUUACUUCCGUCGAUGAUGCCGUACUAGUCUGCAUAUGAGCAGAGAACUGUGCAUAAACCCCUAAAUUAUUCUCUAAAUUCAAAGUCAGAAAUUCCUCUAAAUCCUUCAAUUUUGAACAAACUCUAACCAUUGCACCCCUAUGUACAUACUUAGACACAGAAACUUUCUACAAAUUUCUAACGUUUAUGUCUGAAGAAACCUUCAGGGGGAAUUGACUGGUGGCGAAGAAUGAGGAAAGUUCUAGCGAUGGUAAAAGAAACAACUUUUACCAAAUGUAUCACAUAGAAGAAGGAAGAAACUCAAUUUGACUCGAUUGUUCACUUCAAAUUUGAAAGUUGAUUGGGGGUAUUGCUGAUUUUGUGAAUCUCAUUAAUUCACUGUGUAAAUGACUGUGCG
RNAcentral lists this long non-coding RNA (9652 nucleotides) under Capsicum annuum. RNAcentral's name for it is "long non-coding RNA (CANN_LNC012674)". Lineage: Eukaryota; Viridiplantae; Streptophyta; Magnoliopsida; Solanales; Solanaceae. The record is from RNAcentral.